ACCUUUUAAAACACACAUGCAGUCAACAAACACUAUUCGGUAUUCUUAUCUGAUGAAUUAUAAUUGUGAGUGUCCACUUUGAAUGCAAUAGUAAAAUACUGUCAUUCCAGUUGACACUAAAAGACGUAAGAGGAUAGCCAGGAUAGAUUUCUCUACAAACAAUACCCUGAUUUCAAAGUCGAAGAUAUAUUUAAUACACCAAAAUGACAUUCGCCUCAUGCAAUGAUCUUAUAACAUACAUGUAUAUCAAAAAUUUACAUAAGUCCAAAAAAGUUGAAGAAUAGAUUAAGAUAUUUAUAAUGCAAUGAAAACAAUUUCAGUUCUCUCUUGAUUUUAAAGAGUAAGCAUAUUAAAAGCAAGAGAGAACUGGACAUUUUUAUGGUCCGUCAUAUGUGUUAGUUGCUUUAUUUUUUUAAUACUAUAAAACGAGGGGAGAAGUAUUACGCAAAAUUUUAAGGCAUUGUUGUUCAACAUUUCAGAUGAAUUUAGUUACUAGUAUCUAAUGUAUUGUCAUUCAGGAAAUGUAUGCUUUUAUUUAACAGUGUCACACUCAUGUAAGCCAUAAUGGACUGCAUAAAACAUACAAUUACAUGAAAACACAUUAUGCCAACAUAAGCC
Molecule: long non-coding RNA, 618 nt
Filed under: Mytilus galloprovincialis (Mediterranean mussel)
Lineage: Eukaryota; Metazoa; Mollusca; Bivalvia; Mytilida; Mytilidae
Source: RNAcentral